AAAACAUGCUGGAAAGAGGCACCUUAGAUGGUUUCACUGGACCUCUCAGAGGAUCUGGAGGGUACUACAACACGCAAACAGGGACUUGAACCCUGGACCCUCUGAUUAAAAGUCUGACGCUCUACCGACUGAGCUAUCUGGGCUCGAGGAGAGAGAGCGCACUUUACCCUCGAGCUUGUAGGUCAGGCCUGUGGACGCUCUAGUUCAACGGUUCUCACAGACAUAAAUGGUGCUCAGCCCUUGGCUUGGAAAGGGCCCAUCCCAUCUGGUUCUCAUGGCUUUCUACAAACUAUUAACACAGCUCAG
Long non-coding RNA from Ictalurus punctatus (channel catfish), 306 nucleotides. NCBI's taxonomy places the organism in Eukaryota, Metazoa, Chordata, Actinopteri, Siluriformes, Ictaluridae. The record is from Ensembl.